UUACGGGCAAAGGCAGCGAAAGCUGCUGACGCAAAGCCUUGAGUCUAACCUUUAAUUUGUUUAGAGUAUGAUAGUCCGGCUGCA
This 84-nucleotide non-coding RNA is filed under the name uncultured Monoglobus sp. RNAcentral's name for it is "Cyclic di-GMP-I riboswitch". It matches the Rfam family "c-di-GMP-I riboswitch aptamer", at positions 12 to 83 of the family's 87-position model. Rfam says of the family: GEMM was predicted in a large-scale screen for bacterial structured RNA regulatory elements. Genes associated with GEMM are involved in a diverse array of functions, including chemotaxis regulation, signal transduction, secretion and chitin. The record is from RNAcentral. Lineage: Bacteria; Bacillati; Bacillota; Clostridia; Monoglobales; Monoglobaceae.